UACAGAGGUCUCGAGCGUUGUUCGGAUUUACUGGGCGUAAAGGGAGCGUAGGCGGUUCAGUAUGUCGAAUGUGAAAUCCCACGACUCAACCGUGGAAUGGCAUUCGAAACUGCUGGGCUAGAGUACUGGAGAGGAGAGCGGAAUUCUUGGUGUAGCGGUGAAAUGCGUAGAUAUCAAGAGGAACACCGGUGGCGAAGGCGGCUCUCUGGACAGAUACUGACGCUGAGGCUCUAAAGUUAGGGGAGCAAACAGGAUUAGAUA
This 261-nucleotide ribosomal RNA is filed under the name uncultured prokaryote. RNAcentral's name for it is "partial 16S ribosomal RNA". It matches the Rfam family "Bacterial small subunit ribosomal RNA", at positions 524 to 784 of the family's 1533-position model. The record is from RNAcentral.